RNAcentral lists this ribosomal RNA (520 nucleotides) under uncultured Glomus. Its description in RNAcentral is "SSU rRNA". It matches the Rfam family "Eukaryotic small subunit ribosomal RNA", at positions 569 to 1090 of the family's 1831-position model. Lineage: Eukaryota; Fungi; Glomeromycota; Glomeromycetes; Glomerales; Glomeraceae. The record is from RNAcentral.
AGCAGCCGCGGUAAUUCCAGCUCCAAUAGCGUAUAUUAAAGUUGUUGCAGUUAAAAAGCUCGUAGUUGAAUUUCGGGACCAAUAUGUCGGUCGUGCCUCGGUACGUACUGGUGUCAUUGGUUUCUCCCUUCUGAGGAUCCUUGAUGUCAUUAAUUUGGUGUCUUGGGGAAUCAGGACUGUUACCUUGAAAAAAUUAGAGUGUUUAAAGCAGGCAUACGCUUGAAUACAUUAGCAUGGAAUAAUGAAAUAGGACGUUCGAUUCUAUUUUGUUGGUUUCUAGGAUCGACGUAAUGAUUAAUAGGGAUAGUUGGGGGCAUUAGUAUUCAAUUGUCAGAGGUGAAAUUCUUGGAUUUAUUGAAGACUAACUACUGCGAAAGCAUUUGCCAAGGAUGUUUUCAUUAAUCAAGAACGAAAGUUAGGGAUCGAAGACGAUCAGAUACCGUCGUAGUCUUAACCAUAAACUAUGCCGACUAGGGAUCGGGAUGAUUGUUAAUUUUUAAUGUACUCAUUCGGCGUCCUU